AUGAACGCUGGCGGCGUGCCUAAUACAUGCAAGUCGAGCGCACGGACGAGAAGCUUGCUUCUCUGAUGUUAGCGGCGGACGGGUGAGUAACACGUGGAUAACCUACCUAUAAGACUGGGAUAACUUCGGGAAACCGGAGCUAAUACCGGAUAAUAUUUUGAACCGCAUGGUUCAAAAGUGAAAGACGGUCUUGCUGUCACUUAUAGAUGGAUCCGCGCUGCAUUAGCUAGUUGGUAAGGUAACGGCCUACCAAGGCAACGAUGCAUAGCCGACCUGAGAGGGUGAUCGGCCACACUGGAACUGAGACACGGUCCAGACUCCUACGGGAGGCAGCAGUAGGGAAUCUUCCGCAAUGGGCGAAAGCCUGACGGAGCAACGCCGCGUGAGUGAUGAAGGUCUUCGGAUCGUAAAACUCUGUUAUUAGGGAAGAACAUAUGUGUAAGUAACUGUGCACAUCUUGACGGUACCUAAUCAGAAAGCCACGGCUAACUACGUG
Molecule: ribosomal RNA, 496 nt
Filed under: uncultured bacterium
Lineage: Bacteria
Description: partial 16S ribosomal RNA
Rfam family: Bacterial small subunit ribosomal RNA
Source: RNAcentral